GGGAUUGUGGCUCAGCUGUAGAGCGCUCGCCUAGCACGUGCGAGGCCCUGGGUUCAAUUCUCAGCACCA
This 69-nucleotide transfer RNA is filed under the name Urocitellus parryii (Arctic ground squirrel). Its description in RNAcentral is "Spermophilus parryii (Arctic ground squirrel) tRNA". It matches the Rfam family "tRNA". Rfam says of the family: Transfer RNA (tRNA) molecules are approximately 80 nucleotides in length. Lineage: Eukaryota; Metazoa; Chordata; Mammalia; Rodentia; Sciuridae. The record is from Rfam by way of RNAcentral. RNAcentral also lists the same sequence under 1 other name.